GACGAACGCUGGCGGCGUGCUUAACACAUGCAAGUCGAACGGAAAGGCCCUGCUUUUGUGGGGUUCUCGAGUGGCGAACGGGUGAGUAACACGUGAGUAACCUGCCCUUGACUUUGGGGUAACUUCAGGAAACUGGGGCUAAUACCGGAUAGGAGCUCCUGCUGCAGGGUGGGGGUUGGAACGUUUCGGCGGUUGGGGAUGGACUCGCAGCUUAUCAGCUUGUUGGUGGGGUAGUGGCUUACCAAGGCUUUGACGGGUAGCCGGCCUGAGAGGGUGACCGGCCACAUUGGGACUGAGAUACGGACCAGACUCCAACGGGAGGCAGCAGUGGGGAAUAUUGCACAAUGGGCGGAAGCCUGAUGCAGAAACGCCGCGUGCGGGAUGACGGCCUUCGGGUUGUAAACAGCUUUCGCCUGUGACGAAGCGUGAGUGACGGUACUGGGUAAAGAAGCACCGGCUAACUACGUG
RNAcentral lists this ribosomal RNA (468 nucleotides) under uncultured bacterium. RNAcentral describes it as "partial 16S ribosomal RNA". It matches the Rfam family "Bacterial small subunit ribosomal RNA", at positions 28 to 507 of the family's 1533-position model. The record is from RNAcentral.